RNAcentral lists this ribosomal RNA (800 nucleotides) under uncultured bacterium. Its description in RNAcentral is "bacterial SSU rRNA". It matches the Rfam family "Bacterial small subunit ribosomal RNA", at positions 62 to 864 of the family's 1533-position model. The record is from RNAcentral.
UCGAGCGAAGCGAUUUAAAUGAGACUUCGGUGGAUUUUAAAUUGACUGAGCGGCGGACGGGUGAGUAACGCGUGGAUAACCUGCCUCACACAGGGGGAUAACAGUUAGAAAUGACUGCUAAUACCGCAUAAGCGCACGGUACCGCAUGGUACAGUGUGAAAAACUCCGGUGGUGUGAGAUGGAUCCGCGUCUGAUUAGGUAGUUGGUGAGGUAACGGCCCACCAAGCCGACGAUCAGUAGCCGACCUGAGAGGGUGACCGGCCACAUUGGGACUGAGACACGGCCCAAACUCCUACGGGAGGCAGCAGUGGGGAAUAUUGCACAAUGGGCGAAAGCCUGAUGCAGCAACGCCGCGUGAGUGAAGAAGUAUCUCGGUAUGUAAAGCUCUAUCAGCAGGGAAGAAAAUGACGGUACCUGACUAAGAAGCCCCGGCUAACUACGUGCCAGCAGCCGCGGUAAUACGUAGGGGGCAAGCGUUAUCCGGAUUUACUGGGUGUAAAGGGAGCGCAGACGGCACUGCAAGUCUGAAGUGAAAGCCCGGGGCUCAACCCCGGGACUGCUUUGGAAACUGUAGAGCUAGAGUGCUGGAGAGGCAAGCGGAAUUCCUAGUGUAGCGGUGAAAUGCGUAGAUAUUAGGAAGAACACCAGUGGCGAAGGCGGCUUGCUGGACAGUAACUGACGUUCAGGCUCGAAAGCGUGGGGAGCAAACAGGAUUAGAUACCCUGGUAGUCCACGCCGUANACGAUGAAUACUUGGUGUUNGUGGGCAAAGCCCAUCGGUGCCGCCGCAAACGCAAUAAG